Molecule: unclassified non-coding RNA, 343 nt
Filed under: soil metagenome
Description: partial contains 5.8S ribosomal RNA, internal transcribed spacer 2, and large subunit ribosomal RNA
Rfam family: 5.8S ribosomal RNA (bases 1-118)
Source: RNAcentral
GAUGAAGACGUAGCGAAAUGCGAUACGUAAUGUGAAUUGCAGAAUUCAGUGAAUCAUCGAGUCUUUGAACGCACAUUGCGCCCCUGGUAUUCCGGGGGGCAUGCCUGUCCGAGCGUCAUUGCUGCCCUCAAGCACGGCUUGUGUGUUGGGCCUCCGUCCUCCUCCCGGGGGACGGGCCCGAAAGGCAGCGGCGGCACCGCGUCCGGUCCUCGAGCGUAUGGGGCUUCGUCACCCGCUCUUGUAGGCCCGGCCGGCGCUUGCCGACACAUCAAUCUUUUUUCCAGGUUGACCUCGGAUCAGGUAGGGAUACCCGCUGAACUUAAGCAUAUCAAUAAGCGGAGGA